This 462-nucleotide ribosomal RNA is filed under the name Vreelandella stevensii. RNAcentral describes it as "partial 16S ribosomal RNA". It matches the Rfam family "Bacterial small subunit ribosomal RNA", at positions 338 to 795 of the family's 1533-position model. The record is from RNAcentral. Lineage: Bacteria; Pseudomonadati; Pseudomonadota; Gammaproteobacteria; Oceanospirillales; Halomonadaceae.
CCUACGGGGGGCUGUGGGGAAUAUUGGACAAUGGGCGAAAGCCUGAUCCAGCCAUGCCGCGUGUGUGAAGAAGGCCUUCGGGUUGUAAAGCACUUUCAGUGGGGAAGAAAGCCUUGGGGCUAAUACCCUCGAGGAAGGACAUCACCCACAGAAGAAGCACCGGCUAACUCCGUGCCAGCAGCCGCGGUAAUACGGAGGGUGCGAGCGUUAAUCGGAAUUACUGGGCGUAAAGCGCGCGUAGGCGGUCUGAUAAGCCGGUUGUGAAAGCCCCGGGCUCAACCUGGGAACGGCAUCCGGAACUGUCAGGCUAGAGUGCAGGAGAGGAAGGUAGAAUUCCCGGUGUAGCGGUGAAAUGCGUAGAGAUCGGGAGGAAUACCAGUGGCGAAGGCGGCCUUCUGGACUGACACUGACGCUGAGGUGCGAAAGCGUGGGUAGCAAACAGGAUUAGAUACCCUAGUAGUC